Molecule: microRNA, 18 nt
Filed under: Macrophomina phaseolina MS6
Lineage: Eukaryota; Fungi; Ascomycota; Dothideomycetes; Botryosphaeriales; Botryosphaeriaceae
Description: miR-1268
Source: RNAcentral
CGGGCGUGGUGGUGAGCU